GCUCAGAUUGAACGCUGGCGGCAGGCCUAACACAUGCAAGUCGAACGGUAACAGGAAGAAGCUUGCUUCUUUGCUGACGAGUGGCGGACGGGUGAGUAAUGUCUGGGAAACUGCCUGAUGGAGGGGGAUAACUACUGGAAACGGUAGCUAAUACCGCAUAACGUCGCAAGACCAAAGAGGGGGACCUUCGGGCCUCUUGCCAUCGGAUGUGCCCAGAUGGGAUUAGCUUGUUGGUGGGGUAACGGCUCACCAAGGCGACGAUCCCUAGCUGGUCUGAGAGGAUGACCAGCCACACUGGAACUGAGACACGGUCCAGACUCCUACGGGAGGCAGCAGUGGGGAAUAUUGCACAAUGGGCGCAAGCCUGAUGCAGCCAUGCCGCGUGUAUGAAGAAGGCCUUCGGGUUGUAAAGUACUUUCAGCGGGGAGGAAGGGAGUAAAGUUAAUACCUUUGCUCAUUGACGUUACCCGCAGAAGAAGCACCGGCUAACUCCGUGCCAGCAGCCGCGGUAAUACGGAGGGUGCAAGCGUUAUCCGGAUUUAUUGGGCGUAAAGGGAGCGUAGGCGGAUACUUAAGUGGGAUGUGAAAUACUUGGGCUCAACCCGAGUACUGCAUUCCAAACUGAGUAUCUAGAGUGCAGGAGAGGAGAGUGGAAUUCCUAGUGUAGCGGUGAAAUGCGUAGAGAUUAGGAAGAACACCAGUGGCGAAGGCGACUCUCUGGACUGUAACUGACGCUGAGGCUCGAAAGCGUGGGGAGCGAACAGGAUUAGAUACCCUGGUAGUCCACGCCGUAAACGAUGA
This 801-nucleotide ribosomal RNA is filed under the name uncultured bacterium. Its description in RNAcentral is "bacterial SSU rRNA". It matches the Rfam family "Bacterial small subunit ribosomal RNA", at positions 22 to 812 of the family's 1533-position model. The record is from RNAcentral.